Molecule: transfer RNA, 86 nt
Filed under: Thermodesulfobacteriota bacterium
Lineage: Bacteria; Pseudomonadati; Thermodesulfobacteriota
Description: tRNA-Leu
Rfam family: tRNA
About the family: Transfer RNA (tRNA) molecules are approximately 80 nucleotides in length.
Source: RNAcentral
GCCGAAGUGGUGGAAUUGGUAGACACGCCAUCUUGAGGGGGUGGUGGGCCAACCCCGUGGGGGUUCAAAUCCCCCCUUCGGCACCA